Molecule: ribosomal RNA, 888 nt
Filed under: Bacillus altitudinis
Lineage: Bacteria; Bacillati; Bacillota; Bacilli; Caryophanales; Bacillaceae
Description: bacterial SSU rRNA
Rfam family: Bacterial small subunit ribosomal RNA
Source: RNAcentral
UUUAUAUAUUUUUCCCCCUGUCAGACGAACGCUGGCGGCGUGCCUAAUACAUGCAAGUCGAGCGGACAGAAGGGAGCUUGCUCCCGGAUGUUAGCGGCGGACGGGUGAGUAACACGUGGGUAACCUGCCUGUAAGACUGGGAUAACUCCGGGAAACCGGAGCUAAUACCGGAUAGUUCCUUGAACCGCAUGGUUCAAGGAUGAAAGACGGUUUCGGCUGUCACUUACAGAUGGACCCGCGGCGCAUUAGCUAGUUGGUGAGGUAACGGCUCACCAAGGCGACGAUGCGUAGCCGACCUGAGAGGGUGAUCGGCCACACUGGGACUGAGACACGGCCCAGACUCCUACGGGAGGCAGCAGUAGGGAAUCUUCCGCAAUGGACGAAAGUCUGACGGAGCAACGCCGCGUGAGUGAUGAAGGUUUUCGGAUCGUAAAGCUCUGUUGUUAGGGAAGAACAAGUGCAAGAGUAACUGCUUGCACCUUGACGGUACCUAACCAGAAAGCCACGGCUAACUACGUGCCAGCAGCCGCGGUAAUACGUAGGUGGCAAGCGUUGUCCGGAAUUAUUGGGCGUAAAGGGCUCGCAGGCGGUUUCUUAAGUCUGAUGUGAAAGCCCCCGGCUCAACCGGGGAGGGUCAUUGGAAACUGGGAAACUUGAGUGCAGAAGAGGAGAGUGGAAUUCCACGUGUAGCGGUGAAAUGCGUAGAGAUGUGGAGGAACACCAGUGGCGAAGGCGACUCUCUGGUCUGUAACUGACGCUGAGGAGCGAAAGCGUGGGGAGCGAACAGGAUUAGAUACCCUGGUAGUCCACGCCGUAAACGAUGAGUGCUAAGUGUUAGGGGGUUUCCGCCCCUUAGUGCUGCAGCUAACGCAUAAGCACUCCGCCNGG